Molecule: long non-coding RNA, 1463 nt
Organism: Papaver somniferum (opium poppy)
Lineage: Eukaryota; Viridiplantae; Streptophyta; Magnoliopsida; Ranunculales; Papaveraceae
Exons: 7
Source: RefSeq, a predicted model, not a curated record
GUUAGGCCUCAUAUCAGGCGGAAAAUCCCCGAUGGGUGACCUUUUAUCAUUUAAUCUUAACGACCUAAACCCUUACUCUUUCUCAUCUUUCGUUCGUCUGCCUCUUAUGAAAUCGAAAUUCACUCUCACAAAUCAAAUCGAAAUCUUACACCAUCUCAAAAUCAAACCCAUUUACCAGCGGAAAUCAAAAGCAAACCCUUUUUUUAUAACCUUAGAUCAAGUUGCUUUGCUCCUGAAACCCUAGGGUUUCAAUAAUGGGAAGAAGAAUCUAUCGAUCUCAAGAUUCAAGAUAUGGAUUCAUCAUCAACGAAAUCAUAUAUGUGAAAAUCAGAUUUGAUGGUUAGGGAUUUAAAUUCGUCGAGGUUUAUGAUGUGCUGAAGAACCAGACACGGAAGGGCCUAGUGCUAUUGCCAUUUCCUUAGCAACCUUUACUGCUUUAUCAUUGGGGUAUAUGUAUGAGGUUGUCAAGGAUAACCUGAUCAGAAGUUUAUUUUUUUCCCUAUUCAUAAAUAUAGUAAGUUGUUUGGGAGAAUGUUUCUUUGGAUAAUUCAUUGGUUGUACCACAUCAUUGAUUCCAUUAUGGAGAUUUGAAGGUUUACAUAAAAUGGCAGAAGGGUUCUAAAGGCUUAAGCAAAUUUACGUGCAUUCAUUUUGCAAAUAUAAUAUAUGUGAUGAGUGGACCAAUGAACAACUCAAGCACAGUACAGGGGGGCUGAAUUUUCUCAAAUAGAUUUUAGGGCACCAAAGAAGACAAAUAUGCUUCCCGGAGAGCGAUUCCCCCUAUGCUUCAAGCCGAGGAGGAUGAAAGAUUCGCCAUCCGAUGGAAAAAGUAUCUAGAGGAAGAAGCGUGAAUCAUGACGGAUGUUCCAGGCUGGAAGGUCGGUGAAAGGGUUUAACACUCUCAUGAUGUCUGAUGACGAAGGAUACUCUGAGGAGGAACCGGGGGAGCAAGAUGUUGAUAUUGAGAACCAAUACUACAGCUCUAAAGGUUUGGUUGAAACUGAUCCCGAAUGAGCAUUGAAAGGAUUUUCUGAAGUGGUGCUUGUUGAACUGGGUAUGUCAGAAGGGCAAGUUUCGUAAAAUGCUAAGCCUGCCAUCUAGUGGAUGGGGAAGAGCCAUGAAGUGAAUUUAUGCAUCUAGGUUGUCUAAGGAAGAUUCUCAACAAUGAACUAAUGGCAGAACCAAUCAGUUAGCAGUGUAGGGAAAGAAGGUACAGUCAUUGUGGGUAAAAUGCAAAAGUAUAUGAAGAUUGUUAAUAAAUGUAAUAUCUUGGAAGCACCCAAGUUAAUUUCACAACCUGGACUUCCACCUGAGGAAGCAGGGGCCACGAUAGCUGACGAAUCUUUGGUUUCGUUAUUAAUUUUAUUUUUAUUAUUAAUUUAUUUUAGAAAUUGUAUCCAAAGAUUCUAUUUGUUUGAAUAUUAUUUUGGGUAACUGAUAGAAAGUUAUUUCUAACCGUUUUU